GCUGUGAGCUGUGAGUGAAGUGGUGGGUUGUCAUUGUCUAUGCAUAACUGAGGGCUUCCAGAAAAUCUUGCCAUGGAAGGAGCUGCUCCAUCACCACUGGCACGUGUCUCUGCAGAUGCCCCAUGAGUCAGUUGUGGAGCCAGAAUGAGCUAACCUGGGUCCCUUCUCCUGCCCCUGCUUCUACCGCCAGAGGAAGGCUGAGGGCAAAGAGAGGGAAGAGGACCAGGAAGACCACAUUGAGGUUGACUGAAUCCUGGUCAAUCCAUGGUUGUCUUCUACCUGAGAUAUUUUUUUUCAGCUCCUUGAGAGACGCCACCACCACAUCAUGCUCCUGCAGCAUUUCUGGGUAGCGGGACACCGC
Long non-coding RNA from Lontra canadensis (Northern American river otter), 361 nucleotides. RefSeq lists it as uncharacterized. The record is from RefSeq and is a predicted model, not a curated record. Lineage: Eukaryota; Metazoa; Chordata; Mammalia; Carnivora; Mustelidae. The transcript has 3 exons.